This 14239-nucleotide long non-coding RNA is filed under the name Mytilus galloprovincialis (Mediterranean mussel). Lineage: Eukaryota; Metazoa; Mollusca; Bivalvia; Mytilida; Mytilidae. The record is from RNAcentral.
UUCAAGGCUUUAUCUAAUUUCUUAGGUAAAGUGUUAAUCAUAGAGUAAUAUUUUGUAUUGCAUCGCUCACGUGAUUAGGAAACUAAGAUUUCAGCUCCCUCAGACAACAUUGAUCUUACAAUGUAAAAGAAUUUGGCUAUUAUAUAUUCAGGAUCAUUUUGUUUACAUAGCUAUUCAACUGUUUCGAUUCUUAUACAUCAUGAAAAGCGCUUCGGACGCAUGACAUUUGUAAUUUUAGGUGUUGUUUUUAUUUUUAUGCCACUAUUACCGUUCUAGAGUUUUGCUCCUUUACAAAUGGAAAAAUUGCUGCAUUUUUAUUUUUUUCUCUCAAACUUUAGUUUGGCUCAACAAAAUGUUAUGAAACUGAUACACAAUGCUUAUUACUACAAAAACAGAUCCAGUAUGCUGGUGGUGUCAAUUUAUCUCUCUAGAGCUAUGCCUCUUUAUAACGUUAUAUGCAAGAAGGGGCAUCAUGUGUCCCAUGGAAACGUGCCAAUUUUUUUCUGACAUGCUUUAUAUACUAUCAAUAAUCGAAAUAAUAUGAAAAUGAAUCUAUGGAAAUUUCCCUUGUAGAAAAACCUCCCGAAGUCCUUUAUAAUAGUUGAAUUGGUUCAAACAGCGUUUUUACGCUAGGAUGUCAAAAGAUCUCUAGGUGGUUUGGGGGGAGGAGGGUGGUAGUCAAUAAAAUUUAUUAUAGUGGUUCAGAGAACAAGUUCAAAUAUUUGCCAUUUGCAACGGUGAAAUUCGUAUUCAAAAGCGACUCGUGUUUUUCUCCGACUUCCUCGAUUAUGCACGUGAAUACGUAUGCUGAAAGAAAUGUAACGGAACAUACUUACUGAAGAAUAGCCAUACUUUGACUCUCUAAGAUUGCUAGUAGAUUUAAUUAAUUACUUAACUUGAGCUAUACAUCAAAUUCAUUUUGAUAUGCCAUAUCAGGGUGAUUGUGGUGAAAAGACCUGUGUAAAAGUCACUUUGUGGAGCACCUGGGAUCACCCCUGGUAUGCAUUGACCAGUCUUCAGUUUUCCAUGUUGUAUUUUGUGUACGGUGUUGCCUCUUUUUUUUUCGUUUUUUGUGUGUUUGUCAUGGCAUUUUCGGUAUAUUUUCAACUUAUGAGUUUGGAUAUCCCUUUGACAUCUUUCAUCUCCUUUUUAACUUACAUAGCAGAAUAGAAAUAGGAGCUUGUACUUUUAUUUUACCUUUACUUGCUCUUCUGUUUUAGGUAAUAAAAAUUUCCUGCUAGGACACAUCCAUGCCAAGCAGACUGCAGUGUAUUUGGUCUUAUUAGCAAUGCUUACUGGCAAUCGUUCGGAACUCCAGUAGAAUCGACAAUCAAAAGUAAGUAUCAUAUUUCCAAAUGUCAUGAUUAUUUUUGUAUGUGUGGCUUCCCAAUGAAAAUUUUAAAUUGAAUAAAACCUAAAAUUAUAAGUCUAAGAUUUCAUUGAUGAACUGGUAAGCUCUCUUUUAUUCUUAUUUGAAUGUACGACGUUUAUACGAACACGUUGAUUUUUUUUGUUUUUGUUCUUUUUUUUAUCUAUAAUUUAUGAAUACGACGGCAUGGACACUACUGUUCUUACAUUUGAUCUCCCUGUUUAAUGUAAAUUCAAUGGUAACACUUUAAAAUGGAUUCUAGUUAGUUCAGAUAAUGUUUCCUAUAACAGAAAAUAAUGUCAUGAAUAAUUGGCUUUUUUCUUCUUUUUCAAACUACCUAGUAUAACAACUUAAACUUAAAUCAUUAAACCCUUUAGAUUUUCUAUAGAUGAUUUUUAAAACUAUGCAUACUGGCUUAAAUUGACACUGUCAACAAACUUCCAACUAAAAUUUUCAUUCAUUUUUUUUUCUUUUUCAACUUUUUAACAAAUAUAAAUGAACAAUAUGAAAAAUGAGAAAACAUUGAAAUCCGUUUACUAACUCUUUAUCAAAAUAUUCAUUUUCCUCAAAUACACAAAUAUUGCUGACAUAUAAAUAGAUGUCUUCAAUAAGGUACAUUAGUAAUCAUAGGAAAACUAAUUAAAAAGAAACAAUUUAGAAAUCUAAUUUUUAUUUUCAGAGUUUAAAAACUUAUGUGACUAUUGUGAACGGAUGAAGGAGACAUUCUGGCCUGACUGGGACGAAUGUAUUACUCUUGGAAAUACAAAAGAAGCAACGAAUAAUUAUUGUUUUUGUAAUGAGAUUUUUUGUAUAUACAUAUAAAUAAAUUUGGUGUAUUUACUGUCUUCUGAUUGGUUAAAAGUAUUAGUUUUAUUUUCAAUGUUGUCAAUUUUAUGGCGACACGCCCACUCUGACGUUGUGUAUUCAAACGCCAACAUGUGUGUACGUUGUUAUUGUUAAUAUAAAGAAUAUAAAAAGUUCUUUGAGCCUUAUUUUUGAUAGAAAUUUAUUUAUAAUGAAUGGCAAUAAUUUAUUUUGAAUUUAUUGACCCAUAAAAAUAAUUUUUGACUCUUCACAUUUUACAUAAUCCGCUUCGCGGAUUAUUCAAUGUGAAGAGUCUAAAAUUUAUUUUAUGGGUCAAUAAAUUCAAAAUAAAUAAUAGCCAUUCAUUUAGUAUAUUAAUAAAACAUGGGCAUACAUACAAUUCUUGCUUUCAUAUUACUCUGAUGUUAAUUUAAAUUGGUGCAGAUGUACUCGAAGUGAAUGGAUUAGAUAAAGAUAAUUUUUAAAGAAGAAGAUUGAAAAGACACAUUAUAGCUCUAGUCAUCUUUUAAAUAGGAAAAAAUAUUGAAAUUUUUCGUUCUUUUAAAAUUAUUUCAUUUUUAUUUAAAAAUAAAUAGAAUCACAUUUUAUAUCUUUUUAACCCGAUGAACUUGAAAGCAUUUAGUUUUUUCUUUUUUAUUCUUUAUUCAACCAAGGCCCCUACCAAGGGUUUGCAUUUAAUUAAGUUGACCUACUAUUAGACCUCAUAUCUUUUUUAUCACUAAAACGUCAUCUUCGCUAGCCAAGGGUUACGAUCCACUCCCCUCCUCUCCACUCACAUUUGUGAUCAAACAGAUGUGGAGAUGAGGGGAGUGGGUCGUAACCCUUGGCUAGCGAAGAUGGGGGUUAUACACCUGACCAUUGCUGUAUAGUUUGUCACGAACAAGUCUCGCUUGUUUGCCUAAACUUGUUAUUCAUUUUUCAAGAUCGGGUACAGUUUGCGUCGCCUUAUUUGUUUUGUUUUUGUUUUUUUUUUUUUUUUUUUUAUCUCAGAAGGGAAUUGCUCGUUGAUACCGAAGUUUUUAUGUUUAAAAUUAAGUCGAUAUGCUUGUUUUAAAACAUGUUCCAAUUCUUUCUAUUAGAGAGAUGAUAUUGGCAACAAUCAGGCGUGCUUCAUUUUCAUUCCAUGUGUUUGCCGAAUCUAUGUACAUUUCCACUUUGCUCCAGAGUCCUCAGUUGGUCCUCAGAUGGAUGAUAAGUUAGACCGUUGAAUACCAAGUUAUUUUUCAUGCUACGGCAUUUCAGGUCUAGAAUGGUUUCCUGCAUUCCUUGAUCAUGUUGAUAAUCAUUAUUUUUCCUGUAUUGUGUUUUCCUCAAUCUUUCCAAAAUUAACUCUAUUUGCGUCCUAUUUUCUAUUACUUUUUCAACAACUUAACCAAUGCCGGUCAAGCUGUUUUCAAUUUCUUUUUAAAAAUACUACUUUGCUGUACAAACCAAACAGCGGCCGAUAUGUGUUUUGUAGUGUUAUUCAUACCCAAAGGUGUUGAAAAAAUAAAAUUUGACAGUUUUGCAACGGCUAUUUUAUAGCGAGAUCGUAGAAUCCAAAAAGUCUACAAUUUUCAUCUUUAUUAAUUUAAAUAUUUACUUCAUUGUAACCUAAAAGCUAGACGAAUUUGUUAUUGCAUCCUGUUAUUUGAAGCACGAUGUAAGGGAUAUAACUCAUGUUUCUUAGACUAACCACCAUCCGCACGCUAAACCAGUAUCUUUACGUCUUAAAAUAAUUGGAAAUGAUUGAAUUAUAAUUCAUAAUCUAAAAAUAACUUGUUUACCUAUGAUAGACAUUUAAAAAACACACUUUUAUGUACCCUAUAUGCGUGCAAAGUUGUGUACACAGAUGCUAUAGACAUAUUAGAAAAUAUGGAGAACGAGAAUGUAUUGUUUUGGUCAAAAGCAGCUGGAACGUUCCUGGUAUCGUCAGCAGUGCUUUAUUUCGCCUGGAGAAAAAUAAUAGGCAAAUCUCCUAAGUAAGUUACAUUCUUAUUCACAUAAUUUCAUCAGCUCUAAAAGGUAAUCUUUUUUGGCGCGUUAUUUACUGAACAUCAACAUGAUCAAGAAAGAUAUUAUUCAUAGCAAGUUUAUAUAUACAUGAUAUACACGGGGAUGUUUCUGAAGUGAAAACAAAUAUUUUAAGUGGGUCGAACGUUUACGUACUACAUGAAUAUUAAUCAUGUGCGGUUUAUAUAAAACAUAAAACAUAACAUAUAACAUGUAUAAUAGUAAUUUGUUUAGCAAUUUUACUGUAUUCAAACGAUCACGUAAACAAACUUCAGUACUUUCGAAAUGUAUUUUUAUCAGUAUCAAUGUUCAUGUAAACAAGAAAGACACAAUGCAAUUUGUUAAAAUAUAUUAUGUUUUACCGAACUUUGAUUUUUACGGUACAAUCUCUUAAAUAUGAACAUAUGAAGGGACUCCAGAUACUUUAUAAUGUGAUGAAGUCAUAUAUUUUUAUUUCGAAACCAAAUUUUUUUUUAAUUUGAAAAUAAACAUAUGUUGACAGUUUUAGUUAACCUGGGUUGCGUUCAAUAUCGUAGAUUUGUUUUACUACUGUCAGAACGUGUAGCUAGCCCACUACUAGAUCUAGAUAGCAGCUAGGCUAUCUACACGGUCACUAGUCAAAUAUCUACUUAGCCCUUUGUAGCUGCUACGAUAUAAAGGCAACUCUGUAUCUUACUUUAAAAAAAGAUGCAAAAAUGCAACACACAUGAAAAACAUGCAUACUAUUUUUAGGAAGAAUUACCCACCCGAUACAGUAAUACUUCAUCAGAUUGGACGAGGUCAAUAUGCACCCAGUUUGACACCGUAUGCUAUUAAAUUAGAAACUUAUCUGCGCAUGGCAAACAUUCCUUAUGAAGUAGGUAAAAUUUAUAUAAAUCAUGUUAAAUCUGUAUAAUAAUCAGGAGCUCUACCUACUUUUAAACUUUUAAAUACAUGUAUAAAAAUUAAAUUUUGCUUUUUUUAUUAUUUGACAUUUAAUACUGUACGUGUUUGUUCGUUGUAUUAUCGGUCUUAAUGUGGCUCGGAUGUCUUCCUCAGAUAACUAUUGGUCUAGAUUUUUAAUAAAAUGUACAAAUUUUGUGAGUAGUAUGUGAUUAAUGUGCAAGUCUUUCGUAUUAAUAUAGAAAAUUUUAUAUUUUACUGAUGUAUUUACAGAAGAAGAAAAAAAAACCAAUAUUUUUGUUUCAUUCAUUUUUUUUACAAUUUCGCAGCAUAAGGGGAGAUAAAUCAGAGUAGGGAAAAUAACUCGAAUGAAGUAAUUUUUAUAAUAGAAAGUGUUGUGAGUUUACCUUUUUAAAUAUUUAGCAAGAAAAAAAUUCCGGUAACGCGAUUUUUCUUUUAUUUAUCGUGUUUAUCUGAAGGAUGUUAUAAGAUAUAUCAUCUCAUGUUUCAUCUUUAUAUUCUAUGGUGUAGAGUUCUUUUCAUCACACAAAAUUGGAUUUUCCAUACAUAUUUUAUACAAAAUCGAACAAUUUGGCACAACCUGUAGCAUGAAAAAAAAUUCGAUGAUCCAUACUUUUAUUAUAUAUUUAGGAAAAAGCAAGAUAAAAACUACAUUUUGGGAAAUCAUUAAAAAAAUCUAUGGUAUACAAAAUUGUAAGUCUGCUGACAGUUUACACACCGGGGUAUAAUCAGUCCAGAAAUCAGCACUUCUGUGUUGACAUCGGUAAUCAAUGAUAUGGGAAUAUUAAUAGAUUAACGAAUAAAAUUAAGAAUGGAAACGGGGAAUAUGUCAAAAAGACAACAAUCCGACCAAAGAGCAGAUAACAGUCGAAGGCCAACAUCUUUAAUGCAGCGCGAAUAUCCCGUACCCGGAGGUACACAACAUAUAAAUGAACUAUGUUUUUUUAAAAUAACAAGACUAACGAAAGCUAGAGGCUCCUGACUUGGGACAGGGUUGAAUCGUUCAACAUAUUAAGAAUUUUUUACCCAGAAUAUAUAUUAACUUUUCAAAAUUUUGGGUCCUCAAUGCUCUUCGAUUUCGUUCUUUAUUUGGCCUUUUAUCUGAGUAAUUGGUCUUUUGUAAACGAAAUGCGCGCCUGGUGUACAAAAUUAUAAGCCUGGUAUCUUUUACAAGUUUUGUAAUAUCUCCUGUUCACUGGGUAUUUAUUUUUAGAAUGUACAUAGUUUCUAUACUCCCAGCAAGAAAGGAAAAGUCCCAUGGAUUGAAUAUAAUGGAGAGGAGAUUGCAGAUUCUGAAUUUUGUAUAGAAUAUUUAAAUCAUAAACUAGGAAUCGAUCUAGAUAAAGACUUCACAGCAAAGGAAAAAGGAAUAGCAAGAGCUUUCCAGAAAAUGGUAGAAGAAAACACAUACUGGUAUGUCAAUUCUUUUAAACUCGGGCUCUUAACAGCUUCUAGUUAUUUGUUUCAAGUACUUUCCGAACAGAAUGACUUCAUAUUUAGUUACAUUUAGCAUAACAGUGACAACUUGUAACCUGUAAGGGAUUUGCGAAUGCGUCUGACAACUACUUUAUGUUCCCUAUACCUAACAAAUUAAAACGAACAAGUUAAAGAAUUGAAAGCGUCUUAGGCGCUUUUUUUUGGAAUUCACCAGGAAUACAUUAAGCCAAAUACUUGAAAGACGUGGAUGUAUAAGUACCGAAACAUUUGAAGAGUUAUGUGACAAAAAACGCCUAAAAAUAACCAAAUCCAUCUAACUUCAAGAUCAACUUUGUCUAAGGGAGUUGAAAUCUUAGUUUCUUUUUAAUUUCAAAGUUUAUAAACGGAAAGGUUUAUAAUAAAUCAUGUCAGUACCGAAGUACCGACUACUGAGCUGAUCUUCUACUCAUGGACUGAUCAUCCACAAGCUGAGGUCAAUUGCAGUAAAUCUAAAGAACGUCACAUCACAUUAACGGGUUUUUUAUGUCCCAUUUAUGGGCAUUAUGUUUUAUGGUCUGUGCGUCCGUCUAUUGUCCGUUCGUUAUUCCGUUUGUUCGUCUGUUCGUCAUUUCGUCCUUCUGUCCCGCUUCAGGUUAAAGUUUUUGGUCGAGGUAGUUUUUGAUGAAGUUGUAGUCCAAUCAACUUGAAACUUAGUACACAUGUUCCCUAUGAUAUGAUCUUUCUAAUUUUGAUGCCAAAUUAGAGAUUUUCUCCCAUUUUCACGGUCCACUAAACAUAGAAAAUGAUAGUGCGGAUGGGCAUCGGUACUGGGGACACAUUCUUGUUUCAAUAUUUGUCAAUAUACAGAAAAAAUAGUUGCUUUCUCAUGGACAGCAAACUUGCUAAUAAAAAUUAUCCUCACACCCAAUCAAUAUGUUUGUUUUUAUUCUUUUAAUUUAAAAAAGGAGAUGUGGUAUGAUUGCCAAUGAGACAACUCUCCACAAGAGACCAAAUGACACUUAAAUAUACACACUAUAGGUCACCGUACGGCCUUCAACAAUUAGCAAAGCCCAUACCGCAUAGUCAGCUAUAAAAGGUCCCGGAAUGGCAAAGGUCAAACAAUUCAAACGAAUGAACUAACGGCCUAAAUGUACAAAAAAUGACGAAAAACAAAUAUAGUACAUCAACAAACGACAACCAUUGAAUAUGUCGAAUUAUAUAAAUAAAUUAUAUGUAAAAGUUUUACUGUAGUAGGUUUUAAUUUUGGCUUUAAUAUUGGUUCACUUAUAGGGUCUUUGCAUAGGAAAUUUACACAUUUAUUCUAAAACGAGUUGUUGGCAUGAUACGGGUUAAGUUCUUCUCAUAUAUUUUAUGAUGAUAUAAUACUAAACCCCUAACGAGAGGGAUUGUACUUGAUAUUCAUAUGAUGAAGACAUAAUCUUUCAAUGAGUUUAAUUAAGGUCUGGAGCUGGCAUGUCAGUAACUGCUGGUAGUCCUUUGUGAAUGAAUGUAUCAUUGUCAUUUUUUCAGUUUCAUUUUUUGCAACCUUAUUUAGACAUCGGACUCGGACCUUUUUUUGAAGUGAGUUUUACUGUGCGUAUUGUUGUGGGUUUGUUUUUUCUACAUUGGCUAGAUGUAUAGGGGGAGGGUUGAGAUCUAAAAAAAAAUAUGUUUAACCCCGCUGCAUUGUUGAGCCUGUCCCAAGUCAGGAGCCUCUAGCCUUGUUAGUCUUGUACGUUUUUAAAUUUAAUUUCCUUGUGUAUAUUUUGGAGUAUGACGUUCAUUCUCAUUGAACUAGUAUAACCAUGACACUACAUGUAUCUCUUUGGACUGUUUAUGGUUCUGAGUGUAAACUUUGACUAUUAAUUAUUGCAUUUAUAACAGGGCACUUGCAAUGGAUAGAUGGGUAUUUGAUAAGGACUGGACAGCUUGUAAAGCUAUGAGAACUCCAACAUUGAUUGCUUAUUUUAUCAGACGGUCAGUUAGGAAAGAUACGUAUGCCGUUGGUAUUGGACGACAUAGUUCAGACGAGGUGUACCACAUUAUGGAUCUUGAUUUAAAAGCUUUAUCAGACUUCAUAGGUAAAGUGUUGGUCAUUGUAUUGAAUUGCUCACCUGGGAAAAUUAUAUAACGUUAUUAAGCAAAAUAUUGUAACUCUCACAUUCUGUCCUAAGAAAUAACAACAAUUAUUUAAUUGGUUCAAAAGUAAAAUAACAAAAAUGAAAAUUCAAAACGGAAAUACUCUUAUCAAAUGACAAAAUCAAAAGCUAGCUCAAACACAUCAAACGAAUGGAAAACAGCUUGGUACAGGGAAUCUCUUAUGUAGAAAAUGGUGGAUAAAACCUGGUUUUAUAGCUAGCUAAACAUCUCAAUUGUAUAACAGUCAAAUAAAAUUCUUUCAUAUUGUCAACAGUGUGUGAACAAAACAAACAGACAUAAUAGAUGAAAAUAUCAAAAAUGGGUAUAUACAUAGACAAUAGGCACAAAAAAAUAGAUUAAGAACAUAUAAGCAAAACUGAAAAAAAACUGAAAAAAAUUACAUCACAACAAAAAAAUUGGCUGGAUGCAUAAAAACCUAGCCACGUCAAAAGCAUAUUAACAAAAAGUGUUUUGAACCAGGGUGAAAAACAUGGCAAGAGUGUUGAAUUUGAAUCUCUAAAACUAAAACGAGAAACUAUUAUAAAUCUUAUUAACAAACGACAACCAUGCACUGAACAACAGGUUCCUGACUUAGGACAGGUGCAAACAAAUGAUGCUGGUUCAAACGUUUUAAUCGGCGCCAACCUUCACCCUAACCACGCAUUUUUAUGGUACUACAAUCUGUCCCAUACCUUUAUUUUGGCAUUGCAUAGGGCCUGUUUUUCUUUGACUGUUAAUGACGUUUUCACACUUAAUUCAUCGGAUAUUAGAUGUGUACUGAUUGAUAUUUUAGUCUUAGAUACAUGACUUAUUCAAUUGCAUGCAGUUGAUAUUGGAUUUGAACUAGCUUAUUUAUUAACUGCAAGUUCUCUCAGAUCUGUACUUGGUGUCCUUUUUUGUUGUUAGGAACGAUUAAUUAAUAAAUGCAUUGCCACUUAAGGUAGGCUGUGUAUUUGUUCGAGGGUUUUCUGCUUUAUAUCGAAAUGAUGAGUUUAGCCUUCUUCAACUGAUUUUUAUACGACCGCAAAAAAAGGGUCGUGUAUUGGUAUCAUGUUGUCGUCGUCGUCCGAAAACAAAUGGUUUCUGGACAAUAACUUUAGUAUAAAUAAAUAGAAAUCUAUGAAAUUUUAGCACAAGGUUUAUAACCACAAAAGGAAGGUUGUGAUUUUGGGAGUUAUGGUUCCAAUAGUUUAGUAAUUGGGGGCAAAAGAGGGCCCAAGUAAGCAUUUUUGUAGUUUCUAGACAAUAACUUGUGUUUAAGUGUAAGAAUUUCUCUGAAAUUAUACCACAAGUUUCCACACGACAAUGGGAUGGUUAGGAUUGACUUUGAGGGGUUAUGGCUCAAACCAUUUAGGAAUUAGGGACAAAAUAGGUGGACAACAAGUUUUUUUUUCUGGUUAAAGGACAACUAAGACAAUUUAAAUACAGUCUAAGUAAAUAAGAAUUUGUGGGGGGACUUUCAGAAUUCAGAAAUUAAAAAGAAAAUGUCUUCAAACAAUUUUUAUUUGGGGGGUUAAUAUUCAACAGGAUAUUCCACAGAAGGAAAAAAACGGGGUAUUUUUUUUAAGGGGGAGGGGUCAACUUGCAACAGCAUAGUGUAUUGUACAAAUUCAAAAAAAAAAAGAAUAUAAAUUCAAAUCAUAUAACCAAUUGUCUAUUUGGCUAUAACUCUUCAGGGUUGGACAUCUGCGGUCGUAUCCAGCUGCGUUCAGCGAAGCAAUUUAUUAUAGUUUGUUCUUAUGUUGUGCUGUUAAACAACUUCCCCAGUCUAGAGGAAUAUAAAGCGCACACAAUAGUGUUUAACCCGCCAUAAUAUUUACCACGUUUGUGUACCUUUUCCCAAUCAGGAGACUGGAGCUCAGUGAUCUUCGGUGGUCGUCGUUGGUUCAUGUCUCAUAUUUUUUUUAUUUUUUUUUUUCGCAAAUUAUGCCGUUAGUUUUCUCUAUUGAAUUCUUUCAUAUUUUUCAUGUCGGGGCCUUUUAUAGCCGACUAUACGGAAUUUUUAUUUCUCAUGUUGAAGGUCAUAUGGUUACCUAUAAUUGCUAAAUCCACUUUAUUUUAUUUUGGUGAAUAUAUGUCUUAUUCAUCUGAAUUACCUGGAUUUUUUUUGGCAAAUGAAACGUUCUGUUAUAUGGCACAAAUGAAUUUCAAAUAUGACUUGCGACACCCUAAAAUAAUUUGAAUGUAGAAAGUAUUACUUUUUUUUUUAUUAAGCUCUACAAUAUUAUGUUUUGCCAAAUAUGAUAGUAAUAUUGUUGUCAUUAACAUGUAUCAAUAACAUAUUAAACCAAAGCAACUAAUGAAUGUUUGAGCAAAGUUUUUGUAAUGAUAUAAUUUAUGCGGAACAAAUUAUCAGCUAAAACUUAUUUUCAUCUAAAAAAAAAUCACAGGCCUUAGAUAAGAUCAACUUGAUUAUCGUACAGUUUUAAACAUGUUCUUUACUGUUGUAUACAAUGAUAUCAAGUACUCUUACAUGAACUCAAUUUCAAUGACAAACCAUUAAAAGCAGCUUCUAACUUUUUUAAAUUACGUUAUUUGAACUUUUGUUUUAGGUAAUAAAAAUUUUUGCUAGGAGACAAGCCAUGCCAAGCAGACUGUAGUGUAUUUGGUAUGAUUGGUAAUGCAUACUGGCAAUCGUUCGGGAGUCCAGCAGAAUCAGCAAUCAAAAGUAAGUAUCAUAUCAAAAUGUCAUGAUUAUUAUCAUUUGUGUGUCUUCCGAACGAGGACAUUCAUUCCAAGAAAACACAGAAAAUAAAAGAUGCAAUUUAUAAAAUGAUUGACAGUUUCCUUUUAUUAUUUGAAUCAUUAUCAUUUAUACGAACGUUUUACUAAUGGCGUGUCCCUUUUUAAUCUAUAUGCAUUCUAUAUGAGUACGACGACUUAAAAACUUACAGAACACAAACAUUUUAUCAAAUAUCUACUUUUGUUCUCACUUUUGAACUAUCUAUUAAUUGUGAAUUCAAAGUUUUUCUUUAAAAUGGAUUCUGUACGGAUAGAUAAAGAAUGCAUCUUAUAGCAUAGACUAAUACUAAUAUCAUACAUGGUUAGCUGUCUUUAUUUCAAACAGCCCGUUAUAAAAAAAGUUCUAUAAAAUAUAUAAUCCAAUAGACUUUCUGUAGAUUUUUUUUUAUUAUGGAAAUGUAUUAAUUUGAACACACACUAAAAACAGUGUAAAGUUAUAAGGUUUCUUUCUUUUUUUUUGUUACAUACAUUAAUGGCAAAUAGAAAGAACUUAAAAAACUAUGUACAAUAUUUGCUCAUAAUUAUUUUUUUAAUACUUUUUAGAUGUGCAUUAAUUGAUGACGUAUAAAAGUAUGUCAAGUGCAAUGAAAAUUAAUCGAACGAAAGCAAAAAAAUAUGUACAAAAUGUUUUGAAAUAUGAAUUUAUCAAAAUUGAUUAAUGAAAUAUAAAAGUAUGUCUCAAAUAAAAUACAUCAAAAUCAAUGCAAGUGCCAUGAAAAUUAAUUUUUAUUUUCAGAAUAUAGAAACUUGUGUGACUAUUGUCAAAGGAUGAAGGAGACAUUCUGGCCUGACUGGGACGAAUGUAUUUCUCAUGGAUUUACAAAAGAGCCAACUAAAUAAUUAUUUUUGUGAAUAGCUUCUCUGUAUGUACAUGUAUUAGCUUCUCUGUAUAUACAUGUAUUAGCUUCUCUGUAUAUACAUGUAUGAGAUCAUAACAAUUCGGUAUGUAAAUAUGAAAUAAUUUUUUUGCUUUUCUAUUACUAUGAUUGUCAAUUGGUGAAAACGAACUUGGAAGUGAAUGGAUUUGAUUGGUUGUAAAUUAGAAGGUAUAAUGAUCCAUUAUCUAGUCCUCAAAAUUUAAAACAUAAAAUUAUUUCAUCCUUUGACGAUGAGAUCAUUUGUAUUGAAAUGAAUGUAGUGAUAUAGUUUUGACGCUUCGAGUAAGAAAAAUAAUGUUUGUUGUAAUUUUGCUAUGACAGUAUAAUUUUUAAAAAUUUCGUUUUCCGUGUUUACUUAGAUUUUGACAAAAUUCAAAAAAUGCUUCAUCCUUACCUUCAUACAUUGUAUGUUCGUUGAUAUCGACGGAUUAAAUUUCACUCAGGUAUUUUUAAUUAUUCAAAAUACUGAAAAGUCAUCGAUCCCAAUCUCAACCAUUCUCAUUCAGCUGUUUUGUACUCGAUCAUAAACUAAAUCAUACUCAAAGACAUGAACUAGUACCCAUUCUUUAAUCAUUCCCAACAUAUACAAUAUUUCACUAUUUUUUUUACUCAAAAGAAUUCAAUAAUAAAACAAAAUAACAGAUGUGUUUCAUUGCCAAUGACACAACUCACCAACAGGAACCAAAUGACGAUAUUCAUUAAUCGAUCUCAAUAUUUUAGCACUAAAAUGCGAGAAAUGUCUAAAAUAUUGAAUAAAUUUAGGAGUCGCCAAUCCAACUUCAUGUAUACAUGUAACUGUCUGCUAACACUGAGUCGCCAUAUUGUGCAUAGUUUACUCUGUUACCUUCUCUUAGAACUAUUCGGAACAAAGUUGAUGUGGACAGAAAUAUCGAAACACUUUCUUUAGACAUCCAUUGGAAAUCUUACCGGCUCACUCCGUUUAGAAAAAAAACCCAACCUCGACGACAACAUGGUACUAAAAGGAGGGGUGACGAAAAUGACUCCUGAAUUAAGGAUGUGUUUAUCUUUAUAAGCCACAAGGAUAAAAAACAACAGUCAACCUUAGCCAAAAUAACUAAAAUAAAUUAAAAUGCUUUUUGAAUGCACUCUUAAAAAAAACAGUGCCCCACAAUGUUCUUCGAUGUUAUGAAAUUAAAUUUCUUUAACAAUCAAACAUGCGGACUCAAACACUGUAAUAUACAAGAAACCCUCUUUCUUAUACUUAUCUGAACGUGCCUUAGAAGAGCAAUCCUUACUGUUCAUGCACUACCAUCAAUUCAGACAUUUUAUAUGAUUUCAUAACUAGUUCAACUCAACUUUGCUGGCUUGUUUCAAUUUGAGAGACGGGAUGAGUACAAUUUAGUUGAAGGUAGAAGUCAGAAUACACAGUUUGAUUUUUGUAUUUAUCAACAACAACACUAAAGAAUCAUUUGUCCCCCGCCAUCCCCUCAAACAAAAAGGGCACUGUCAAAAAAUACAUCAGCAUGACCAAUCACCUGCUCAUGAUUUGCACUUUUUGCAAAAGAAUGCAAUAGAUUAAUGUAAUUGCAUGUUACCGAUGACAAUGUCCAAGUAUUUCGGAAUAACCAUCUUCAUUCUAAUGUGUUGAAAGCCAGAUCAUACAUCAUCGACAAACAAAGCAUCUUGAGCAUAAAUAGAAUAGUUUAAACUGAUUGCAAUUAAUUCGGACAUGUGUUUCUUGAAUACCAUUUGUACGCUUGAACAGAUUAUUCAACAAGAAAACACACAAAACGUGUAAAAGCACCAUAGAGCAGAUGAAUAUUUACGACCAAUUUGAUACAAAGAAGAAAUGACUUAUGAUUAUCCAUAGUUUAAUUUGAAGUAUUCGAAGGUCGUAAUUAUGACAUACCAAGUUGUAAAAAUUCGUAAUAGCAGGAAAAGCAAAACACCUUUUGUAUAUUACCAAUACUUUCAUAUAAAUUAUAUUGCAUUUUGAAUAUAUGAAGUAAAUCUG